Molecule: long non-coding RNA, 1663 nt
Organism: Mya arenaria
Lineage: Eukaryota; Metazoa; Mollusca; Bivalvia; Myida; Myidae
Exons: 4
Source: RefSeq, a predicted model, not a curated record
ACUGUCGGCUGCAAGCCGACAGUCUUUAGAGAGCGGUAUUUCAGAAACGCGACUAGUCGCCUGACACGACAUAUUGAACAUGAAUAUAUUAAUACACACCACCGGCGUAGCAACAGAACUACUUACGUGAAUGUGGGGCGUCAAGUACCUGCUUAUGUGUAUUUAACGCGUUAUUGCCUUUUUUAUGACAAACAUUGCGUGUUACUCUUAGUAUAGUUGUACCGUUGCAAUUUGGUGAGUUUUAUUGAACAAAAUAAUGAAAAAUAAUGAAAGUAUAGCAUUUACAUACGAAGUCAUUUUACCCUACAUCCAAUAGUAAGCUACACCACAUGUUUGAACCCCGUGUGACGUCACACAUAUCCCGGCAUUCAAGACUGACCCGGCAAACCCCGGCAAAGAACUUAUUUUAUGAAUGAAAGCUAUUAAGAAAUAAAUCAUACGCGGUUAAAGAGUUCAUGUCAUGCAAUAUUUUGUGAAAUAGCUUUUAUGUUUCAAAUGAUUUUUUUUUUCAGCAGCAAUCAAACUAUUGUAUUUGUUUGAGUAAAUUAUUUGGAUUAUACCUAUCACAGUUUGUCAACGUUAUGCCUAUUGUUAUUUUGGACUAUAGGGUGUAGUUUUUAAAGUCAUACACAAUAUGGCGGCGAUUAUGCGGAAAUGAAAUUGAAUGUUACUUCGAACACGUUCUUCUACAAAAUAACCGACCUGUAUUUAGUGCUAUUGCUUUAACAUCAAUCGAAGCAAAAAUGGCAUCAAUGUAUGCGUCUAAAAAUGUUAAAUUUAGAUGGAGACAAUCCAAAUUAGCUGCCAGGAAGUGAUCGAUUUCGGACACGAAGAUUGAGAAGUGCCUGGAUACAAGGCUAGUAUUGUUAACAUCAUCUGAUACAAUCAACUGGAACAAAGCUGAAAUGGCUGCCUGACCUGACUUAAAAAUUGGAUGGCAGAACAUCAGACUAGAAGAUUACAAGUAUUGAGGUGGACAAAAUGAAACCUGAGCCUACCAAAGCUGACAGAUUGCACAAGAAACACAUAACUGCAGAUUGGAAGAUUCAUUCUCUGGAAAGUAGAAAAGGGCAUGUUACAUACUGUUAUCACUGCCAUGACAGAAAUUAUAUUGAGGAGCUGGUCCACCUGUAGGAAGAAUUGCGCUAUUGGUUGGAGCAGCACUAUUACCCAGCCAUACACCAGCACUUAGUUUGUCAAAGGGAGCAUUUCUGAGCAGUUAUGGAGACCACUAACUAUGCAGUUGUUGCAGUGAAACUUGCACCAGUGUGUUUUCUGUGGAGAUAUAGAGAUAGUGUCCAGCAAUGAAGACCCAACUCAAGAUCUGACCUUGUAAGGCCAAUAUGAAAUAACUGUGUGGGAAAAUGGGAAAAACCUGCAGUAAGGAAUGCACGGAAAUCAUCAAAAGAACAGUGUUAAAUUAAUCUUGAAUAACUUUACAUUUAUUUUGUUUGACAUAAUUAUUCAUGGUGCAGUGAAAACAUUCUUUUUUUCUCAUGGUUUUUUAAAUUUAGAAUUGAUAGGAGGGAACAUCACUAUGUAGUUUCAUGUUCAUAGUCAGAUCAAAACCCAUGUACAUGCCCAAAUGAGCAUUCGAAAAUAUCAAAAUGGUACUUGUUGUAUGUAGUGUAAGUUAAUUAACAUAAUAAACAGAAAUAUUUAA